Passer montanus (Eurasian tree sparrow) is the source of this 252-nucleotide long non-coding RNA. RefSeq lists it as uncharacterized. The transcript has 3 exons. The record is from RefSeq and is a predicted model, not a curated record. Lineage: Eukaryota; Metazoa; Chordata; Aves; Passeriformes; Passeridae.
GGGGGCGGCGCCUUCUCCGCCGGGGACGGGCACGGGCGGGCUCGGGCGAGAUGGAGCCGUGACCAGUGACUGGGGAGAGAGCUGCUGGCAUGGAAGUGAGCUGGGUUUGUCCGUGGGAACUGUGAGUAAGGGUUCAGAUUGCCAUCACAAUGGGAAAACAAGCAUGUUUCAAGGUGUAGCUUCCCAUCAGAACAGCAGGCUGAAUUGACUUGCUCUAUUGGCUGCAGAGUCACUGCUUGAGGGAGAGAAGGU